This is a non-coding RNA of Cricetulus griseus (Chinese hamster), 1401 nucleotides long. Lineage: Eukaryota; Metazoa; Chordata; Mammalia; Rodentia; Cricetidae. The record is from RefSeq and is a predicted model, not a curated record.
AUUCCUUCUUGAUUGAUACUGGCUAUAGUUAUCUUUUAUUUCAUCCUUUGGGAACUUUGAACUUUGUUUGGAUAAGUCUGUGUUCUCUUGGUUGGCUUCUCCUUACCCCUAAACUACGGUCGGGGUCCUUUAUUUGCUGCCUGUCAUUUCCUCUGUUCCUGUUUUUGUUGAUGGUGUCACAGCCUUUUCACUACUUGGGUGACUUAAUUUAUUGCUGUAGAACACCACCAUGAUCAAGGCAACUUGUAAGAAAAAGCAUUUAGUUGAAGGCUUGCUUAUAGUGUCAGUGGGUUAGCCCAUGACCAUCACUGUGAGGAGAAUGGGGGCAAGCAGGCAGGCCUGGUGCCUGAACUAAGCAAUUACAUCCUAAUUCACAAGCGUGUGCAUGGCAUGGGCUUUUGAAACCUCAAAGCCCGCUCUGAGUGACACAUCUCCAACAAGGCCACACAUCCCAAUCCUUCCUAAAUAGUCCACCAAUUGGGAGCCAAACAUUUUAAACAACAGUGGCCAACAAAGUCUAUCUUCUUAUACUCAGGGUUCAUCGGGUUCUUUGAGUCUCCAUUUGGUCACUUCCCUUCUGUCCAUUUCUAACAUUUUGUUUACCAUCAGGCUUUAUCCGUAGAUAGUCUCACUCAUCUCUUUGCCUGUCUUCUGUGACUCUUGGUGCUUCAUUUGUUUCUUGUGUCCUGCAGAACAAGAUUCCAUUUUCUUGUCAUCAUUGGAGCUUUAUUAUGACAAUCGGCUGUGCACCAGCUUAACUCAGACACAGCAGAGCCUUGUCCUUCUCAGUGGAAAAGCCCUGGGACGUGUGUGUGUGUGUGUGUGUGUGUGUGUGUGUGUGUGUGUGUUGGAGACCAAAGGUCAACACUGGAGACACCUACUCUGUUUUUCAAGACUGAUUCUCUCACUAGGACAUGGAACUUACAGAUGAGGCGGGGCUGACUGGCCAGGGAGCCACAAGGGUUCAGUUUUCUCUGCCUUCCCAGUGUUGGGCGUAUAAGCAAGUGCCACCAUAACUUGACUUUUUACAUGGAUUCUGGGGUUGAAUUCAGGCCUUCAUGCUGGUAUUGAAAACACUUUACUGAUUGAGCCAUCUCUCCUCCCCAAGACUUUUGAAUCGUAAAUCUGUUGAAUUUUCACCUCUAUAAAACAUCUUCUCAGGGCAUUUCAUCACUUUCUUUAAUGUUCUUUUUACUUUGCUUCAUUAACACAACCAGCAUUUGACUUUAAUUUGGUAGCAAUUAUUUAUGAAUUUUGAAUUCAUGAAGAUGGAUAGUGAGGAUAGAAGGAUGGAGAGACAUUUAGUCCUUAAGGCAGACCAUUCUGAGUACUCUGGAAGAGCUGGUUAAAUGACCUCAGUGAUUUCUUCAACCUCUACCUAGCAGUGAUUUUUUUUUUUUU